AUGCAGCGUCCCGCGCCCUCCUACAGCUACUGGCGCGCCGUGGGCUUGGCGCAGGCGCAGACGUGGCUCCUUAACUUACAAAUUGUACCUUGGGCUGGUUUCAUGAAAAUCCACUUGGGAUUGCCCAGUGCACACGGUAGACAUGGAAAUGGAUCAUCAGCAUCCCCAGACAAUAUAAGCCUACUCAACAGCCAACUGGUGGUCAACCAAAACCAGUAGAAUGUAAAGCUUCAUAAAAAUAAAGGAUUUAAUGAUACACUGGCCUGUUCCAGCACUGAGAGAAACCUGGCCAUGUUGGACUUAGUGACCCAUGGUUGCCAAAUUGCCCCUUUCUAAGAGAUUUCCAAGGAUGAUUUGGCCAGGUAAGACUUUUGCCUUAUAUCACUUUAGAAACUGAAACUUGAACAGUGAUGUCUCCAUAGCAUACCCUUGCAAAGAUGAGCAAGACUAGAGUUCUUGCCUUCAAAAGCUCUCCAACUAGUAGAAGACAUAAGGCAUGUAUAAACAGACAAUGCAUGGCAGCAUUUGAUGGGAGCCAAACACACAAGGAUCAACCCAUUUGUCACCAGUUAGCAGUGAGAGUUUAUUAAAUAGGUUAGAAGAGGAGGAAAAUGUGAUGCACUGGUUCUGCUAGAGACUUUAUUCACUGGCUUAUUCAGAGCAAGAAAUCAUCAUUAUUUCAAUUUUAAAGACCUAUUUGGAAGAAGAUGCUUGCCUGAUCAUGAAGCAUUGCUUAAUAUAUAACUUAUCUUCUCCUGAUCUAUCGAUGGCAUUUUAUUUUAUUUUUCUCAAUGACCAUGGAGAAUACAGGUUUACUUCUUUAAGGACUCUCAAUAAUACAUUCUUUAAAGGUUUAAUACAUUUGUGUUAUUUUUUCAUUUUGUGCUGGGUUUCUUUUUCAGUGUGUUUGUUUCCUUUUCUCUUCUUAGAAAAUAUGUGAUUAUAUUCCUUAGUUCCAAGGUCUAUCAGCCCUAAUUCUUUAUGUCUCACUUCUGGAGUUGAUGAAAUAAUCACUGUCUUUUUAGCAUAGAACACCAGCAUAAGAAAGGCAAGAAAAGGGACCUUCCAGCUAUAGUGCUGGGACCAUCAGACCAUAGGAGCUUUUGAAUCUCAGUAUGUUUCAUCUUCUUACCAGGUCAUCCACCUCUGAAGGUGGUGACACACUAGGGUGAGAGAUGACUUACUGAUGAGGAUGUCUUCACAAGUUCUCAUUUGAAGUGGCUUUUGAAGAAUAAGGAGUAGAUGUGGGAGGCGGUUAGCAGUCAACUCUUUU
Molecule: long non-coding RNA, 1273 nt
Filed under: Macaca mulatta (Rhesus monkey)
Lineage: Eukaryota; Metazoa; Chordata; Mammalia; Primates; Cercopithecidae
Description: lncRNA (ENSMMUG00000064938.1)
Source: RNAcentral